RNAcentral lists this ribosomal RNA (709 nucleotides) under uncultured Dinobryon. RNAcentral describes it as "partial Bacterial large subunit ribosomal RNA". It matches the Rfam family "Bacterial large subunit ribosomal RNA", at positions 2072 to 2779 of the family's 2925-position model. Lineage: Eukaryota; Chrysophyceae; Chromulinales. The record is from RNAcentral.
GCAGCAAGACGGAAAGACCCCAUGCACCUUUACUAUAGCCUGGUACUGAUGCCGGUUGUGGACUGCGUAGGAUAGGUGGGACGCGUUGAUGCCCCGGUUCCGGCCGGGGUGGAGCGGUCGGUGAAAUACCACCCUGUUUGCAUUCGUCAUCUCACCCUAAGCCCUGAAUCGGGAUAGGGAACCGUGCUAGGUGGUUAGUUUGACUGGGGCGGUCUCCUCCCAAAGCGUAACGGAGGAGUUCGAAGGUACGCUAGGCACGGUCGGAAAUCGUGCUGAUAGUGCAUAGGCAUAAGCGUGCUUGACUGCGAGACGGACAUGUCGAGCAGGUACGAAAGUAGGACUAAGUGAUCCGGUGGUUCUGUAUGGAAGGGCCAUCGCUCAACGGAUAAAAGGUACUCUGGGGAUAACAGGCUGAUUCCUCCCAAGAGUUCAUAUCGACGGGGGAGUUUGGCACCUCGAUGUCGGCUCAUCACAUCCUGGGGCUGUAGCCGGUCCCAAGGGUAUGGCUGUUCGCCAUUUAAAGUGGUACGUGAGCUGGGUUUAAAACGUCGUGAGACAGUUUGGUCCCUAUCUGCCGUGGGCGUUGGAAAUUUGAAGGGGGCUGCUCCUAGUACGAGAGGACCGGAGUGGACGCACCUCUGGUGCAUCGGUUGUCACGCCAGUGGCAUAGCCGAGUAGCUAAGUGCGGAAGAGAUAACCGCUGAAAGCA